Long non-coding RNA from Etheostoma cragini (Arkansas darter), 262 nucleotides. RefSeq lists it as uncharacterized. The transcript is spliced from 3 exons. NCBI's taxonomy places the organism in Eukaryota, Metazoa, Chordata, Actinopteri, Perciformes, Percidae. The record is from RefSeq and is a predicted model, not a curated record.
ACUGGUUCGACGCAUCUACAGAGACUUGGUUAUCAUCAAGGUCAUGCAGAAGAAGUUGGAUGAUUUCUUUUUCCAAUUCUACCUGCCACAUCUGCUUUAAGUGAUCUAACAGCUGUUUGAGCAUCAUCACACUGCUGUCAUACUCUAGGCUACUUGCUGUUCCCCUCAGGUCCUUAGUUGUAAGUUUUAAGAGAUUGUAAACUACUUGAAUGGGAUCUUUUCUGACCACUAAUGCUCUGUUCCUGUUCCAUAUUUAUAUUUG